This 244-nucleotide ribosomal RNA is filed under the name uncultured bacterium. RNAcentral's name for it is "partial 16S ribosomal RNA". It matches the Rfam family "Bacterial small subunit ribosomal RNA", at positions 89 to 334 of the family's 1533-position model. The record is from RNAcentral.
UGGCGACCGGCGCACGGGUGCGUAACGCGUAUGCAACCUACCCAUAACAGGGGGAUAACACUGAGAAAUUGGUACUAAUACCCCAUAACAUCAGGACCGGCAUCGGUUCUGGUUGAAAACUCCGGUGGUUAUGGAUGGGCAUGCGUUGUAUUAGCUGGUUGGCGGGGUAACGGCCCACCAAGGCGACGAUGGAUAGGGGUUCUGAGAGGAAGGUCCCCCACAUUGGAACUGAGACACGGUCCAA